Oncorhynchus masou masou (cherry salmon) is the source of this 1257-nucleotide long non-coding RNA. RefSeq lists it as uncharacterized. NCBI's taxonomy places the organism in Eukaryota, Metazoa, Chordata, Actinopteri, Salmoniformes, Salmonidae. The transcript is spliced from 5 exons. The record is from RefSeq and is a predicted model, not a curated record.
ACUGUGUGGGGUUUGGGUGUGACAGCUCAGGUGUCCUUGGAAACACAUAUUGACUCAUUGGAACACAUUUGGAAGGAGACAUACUUCUGAACCUGUGGCAUAACAAGACAGGUUUAUGAUGUCAUCAGUCCUGGCCGUUGUCUCUCUCCUCCUCUUGCAGACAGGGGUCCAUGGGUUCCUGGUGCUCUUCUCAGGCAGCUCCAUGGACCACCUGGAGAUCACCAGGGAAGCCAUCUUACAGACCACGGCGAAGGUGUGCAUGCAACUGGCCUCGGUUGAGGGAAGAGACUUCACUCUGCCGCCCGGACCACUGACUGCAGAGUCUCUGGCUCUAGCCUGCUCCUCAUCGGGGUCUGCUAAGAGUUUCCAGAGUGCCAUAUCAGACGUCACCUGGAGAAAUGCCGGAGUUGACUUCCGUCACCUGUUCAAUGAAGAAUACCACUUUGAUGGGGAGAGAUUUAUCGAGGGCGGAAACUCAUCAAAGAUGGAAUGACCUCUGUCAAAGCCAGCAUCAAGCAAGGGAACUUUGAGGCAGCAAGACAGAAGCUGGGAGACAUUUUACACACCUUACAGGACUUCUACAGUCACAGUAACUGGAUAGAACUGGGUAACAGAUUUCCCCAUUCCAAUCUCAUCAGAUCAGACGUGUCCGACAUCGGCCCUGUUGCAGGUAUUGCGACGACAUGUGUCUGGGUGUGUAUGUUAACGAGGGGGAGUAGUUUGAAAAGGGCUGAAUGAGUUUGAAGAUGUCUCAUUGAGUACAGAGUAGUUUGAAGAUAGAUGGCUAUUUGCCAACUAAAACAUGUUGAGGUUGAAUGUUAAUUUGAAGAGACAAGGGGUCUAACGUUCACGUUCGCCAACGUUCUUUAAACAUUCAACAGUUUUGUCAAUAGGUGAUUACCAAAGGGAGUAGUGUGCAGAGGAUGCCAAGAUAGAUGCAGAAAGUGUUUACUCAACUCAGGACAACAAACUGAUACAGAUCAGUGCACUAUGCUGCUGAAAGAACAGCCACAUGCCCAUUGUUAGAGUUUCUUAGUACUGCAUUGGUUUUUGACAAAAUAGAGUCAUGUUAUGUCUGUUGCUCGUUAUACAGAAACAGAAUGUUGGUCAAAUAUUUCCUUAUACAACAUACUGCCCUAGUAGAGGUGAUGUAAUGGUGCCUCAUGUAGUCACAACAUAUUGCCCUAGUAGAGGUGAUGUAAUGGUGCCUCAUGUAGUCACAACAUAUUGCCCUAGUAGAGGUGAUGUAAUGGUGUC